Molecule: long non-coding RNA, 794 nt
Organism: Paramacrobiotus metropolitanus
Lineage: Eukaryota; Metazoa; Tardigrada; Eutardigrada; Parachela; Macrobiotidae
Exons: 2
Source: RefSeq, a predicted model, not a curated record
CUGCCGUUUUACGUAAAAGGCAGAUAAAACACAAUGUCAUGUACUGUGCAGUGUAUGGGAUCUGCCGCUGCAUAAUUUGCAAAGGUAAAAAGGCCAUUUUCGCAUUCAUCAACACUUUUCUGUACUUUUCCUUUAAGCACUGGAUCUAUUCAGUCUGUUUUUCCGGAACCACAUCGCGCUUCUUUUACCAACUUACCUGAACUCCGCCAGCUACUCUAAAAAUGUCCAGUGACGACGAUAGCUUUGGCACUAUCGAUUAUGGAUCGUCCAGUAGUGAUGAGUCCUCUUCCACGAGUACUGAACCAUCGGACAACAAUCCUCCAAGCAGUGGCUCAACCUCGGAUAGCGGCAGAAUGGUCAAGCGCCACCGCGUCCAGCGACAGCGACAGUUCAAUAAAGAGUAGCGAUGACUGAUCAGUAUUUACCCUCUGGAUACAUAUCUGUACAGUUCGCAAAGCAGCAGCUCGAACAGGGAUGGCUUAUGAAAGGAAUGCAUGUUUUGUCGUCCAUGCCUGUGAAAAAGUCGCCGUGACUGUUCUUCUUAAUCCUAGUACAGAUAGUUUUCAUACCAUUUACUAUUUUCUGGUCGCCUCGCUGUGUUGUGCCGUUUGCAUUCGAAUACCGCUUCUUAUCUCUCAUCGAAUUUUUCUUUUAAAGUUUUUCAUUCCUAAUCGCUUCAAUUUUGUUCCUGUUAAUUUACCAGAUAUUGUAUAAUCUUUGGUUUGAUGCGAACAAGCUUUGUGGCUGCAAGUAUUUAUUCGUGCAAACCAAAUUAAUAAUGCCAGGUGUUGUUG